CUCAGCAGCCUUCAUUUCUUCCCAAACCCGAUCUGAACCUAGAGACUUAGAGAGGCCGCCUCCUUCGGUCCUUCUUCCCAAACCCAAUCUGAACCGAGAGAGGCCGCCAUAUCCGCCAACGCCGAGACUGCUCUCUCCCUCACUUCACCUGCACCGCGAGACGCAGAGACUGCUCUCUCUCUCUUCACAUCACGCUGCGGUUCGCUGGGUUUGUGUUUGGUGCCAAGGGGACUGUGAUUCAGUCUGUGGAGUAUUUCUGUUGUGAUCCCAAUCUAAUUUUGCAAGUAUCAAAUUGGGUUUUAAUCGGUUAGGUAUCCAAUUGAGCUCCUCUUUCCGUUAAGAUUUAAGAAAGAAAGAGACUGCUCUGGGCCAUCGACCACUUAAGCUGGUGUUUGUGCGGCAAUUGGGCAGCUGUCCAAGCCUUUAACUAAUGUAAUUCUGUAUGGGAAAGAGUUUGAAACCGCUGGCGGCUUCCCUUCCACUCAUUCCUCUGUAAGCUAGAAGAAUCAUUUCGACGUUGGGUUUAAACGGCGACUGGCUGCUGUGGAAGGAAGCUGUAUUUUAAUUAGGACUUUCUAUGUCAUUGCAUAUUUGUACUUGAAUUUGGACUUCGUAUUUAAAUUUGGACACUUUGUAUUUCAAUUGUAGCUUUAAUUGUUCUUGAUGAGUACUUGAAUUUGGAUACUAUGUAUUCUGGAUAUUUGAAUUUGCAGCUUGAACUUUGGAUCUUGA
Molecule: long non-coding RNA, 732 nt
Organism: Rosa rugosa (rugosa rose)
Lineage: Eukaryota; Viridiplantae; Streptophyta; Magnoliopsida; Rosales; Rosaceae
Exons: 3
Source: RefSeq, a predicted model, not a curated record